UCUUCAAACUCAGUUUGCUUUUGUUGAAUUGACUCUGGUAAUCCUUAUAAGAAGGGCAAUGGUACUACCCUGAUUUGUUUGUUCAACUGAAGCCAACACCGGAAGCUCAGGAAAGGUACAGAUGCCAACAGAGACCAAGUUGAGAAGCAUGCAGGUUUCUGGAAAUUUGUUCCCAAAUGUGUGCCCAGCCUUCCUCCUGCAUGGUGUACUGGCCUCUUAGGUCAAAUCUGGCCUCUUUAAUUCUGCUGCUUUUCUGACAUUUGUGUGGAAGCCUCUUAGCUUGUUCUGACUUGUGUGGAGCUACCUUCCCUGUUACUCCUGAUUCACAGGAAGAAAGGAGCCAUCACAGACAGCCUGGCUCCCGGAGGCUCCGCGCCGCGCUCCCUUUUGCCCGCCCGACUUCUGAGCGGAGCGCUCCGGAGGGAGGAGAACCGGCGAAUCCUCGCGGGCUCCGGGCGCUCGCGGACCGAGCCCGCCCCCACCCGCGCCCGGCCUCGUCACGUUGGCUGCAGAGCGCAUCCCGGCUGCGCCCCGGCGGGGAGGCGCCGAGGGUAGCUGAGGGGAGCGGGUCACGUGAGAGGAGGAGUCUGACCUACUUUCGCCGGCAGCCGGCGCAUGCGUAGUUCCGGGCUGCACGCCGGCCGGAGGCUCACGUGGAG
Herpailurus yagouaroundi (jaguarundi) is the source of this 659-nucleotide long non-coding RNA. RefSeq lists it as uncharacterized. NCBI's taxonomy places the organism in Eukaryota, Metazoa, Chordata, Mammalia, Carnivora, Felidae. The record is from RefSeq and is a predicted model, not a curated record. The transcript has 3 exons.